RNAcentral lists this ribosomal RNA (370 nucleotides) under Escherichia coli. Its description in RNAcentral is "bacterial SSU rRNA". It matches the Rfam family "Bacterial small subunit ribosomal RNA", at positions 1050 to 1420 of the family's 1533-position model. RNAcentral also lists the same sequence under 1 other name. The record is from RNAcentral. Lineage: Bacteria; Pseudomonadati; Pseudomonadota; Gammaproteobacteria; Enterobacterales; Enterobacteriaceae.
UGUCGUCAGCUCGUGUUGUGAAAUGUUGGGUUAAGUCCCGCAACGAGCGCAACCCUUAUCCUUUGUUGCCAGCGGUCCGGCCGGGAACUCAAAGGAGACUGCCAGUGAUAAACUGGAGGAAGGUGGGGAUGACGUCAAGUCAUCAUGGCCCUUACGACCAGGGCUACACACGUGCUACAAUGGCGCAUACAAAGAGAAGCGACCUCGCGAGAGCAAGCGGACCUCAUAAAGUGCGUCGUAGUCCGGAUUGGAGUCUGCAACUCGACUCCAUGAAGUCGGAAUCGCUAGUAAUCGUGGAUCAGAAUGCCACGGUGAAUACGUUCCCGGGCCUUGUACACACCGCCCGUCACACCAUGGGAGUGGGUUGCAA